Molecule: long non-coding RNA, 1057 nt
Organism: Lolium perenne
Lineage: Eukaryota; Viridiplantae; Streptophyta; Magnoliopsida; Poales; Poaceae
Source: RefSeq, a predicted model, not a curated record
CUCGUGGGCCGUCAGAUGCGCAUGAUCAAGCCACGCGACCCGCUCUGUUCCGACAGCGCCGGGCAGCCCACAUGCCUCUUCACCCUCAAUCCCUAGGGUUGGUCCAGGCCAUUCCAGUGCGACAGCCGCCAUGCUCGCCGGCUCGCCCUCUCCGCCGCGCCGCGAGGGACCUCCGCUUCCGUCAUCGACCCCUCCACUCCAUAGAAGGACUCGCCCUUCAGACCCCCCUCCCAUUCCUGCCACGAGCCCCAACUACAAGCGAGACGGCAGAUCGGGUGAACACCGAUGGCCGCGAGCCUGCCACCGCGAAUUGGUACUGACCUCCCAACCUCAUCUCCGGCCACCGACGCCCGGCGGGAUGUUGGCCGACCAGCCACCAAAGAAGAGCCCCACGAGCUCAUCUCCCUGCCGCCGCCGAACCAGCACGGGGCGUCAAGGCCUCCAGGCGGCUCGUCCCUGACAAGCUAGGCGCAUAUCGGGAUCCCAUGGUCCCACGUGGCCGCCCUCAAUGCCGCCGGGGAACUCAUCUGCUGCCUCCUCAUCUCUGCUGCAAGAGCAUAGCUCCCGCUGUCCUCUCAAGGUCCUUAUUUGUGAUAUUGCUAAGUUGUACCGGGAAGCGGUGGAUCCUGGGCGGCGUGGCUAAUACCAUCUCGAGCGGUGGUGAAGGAGGCCAUGGCGCCUAUCUCGAGCAGGUUACGGCGCCCGCAAUGCCUUCGUGAGCGCAAGCCCGCCGCGGCCCCUGACCAACUCGUAGUUUUCGGUGAAAUCGAGAUCUACAUGGAGAUGAGGAGGAAGACAAGUAUUUGGAGGAGUAAGAAGAGUGGGAGUAGUUCGCCAAGAGAUAUCGCGCGUUGUUGUCCGCUGAAUUUCCCUUAUGUGUGAUCUCUCUUUUUUCCUUGAGCAAUGCUAUAUGAAAUUCGUAUGAUAGCUGGUACGAUCAGACUCAUAGUGGCGUGGGUUAGUAUGUGUACCAUACGAUGAGAAGCCCUCCAUGGGUCUUUUCAUACAGAUGUUGUACAGAUUUCUUUGUAUGAGACAUAUUUCUGUUUUUCCUGAU